AUCGUGGGGGAUAACGCAGCGAAAGCUGUGCUAAUACCGCAUACGAUCUACGGAUGAAAGCGGGGGAUCGCAAGACCUCGCGCGGACGGAGCGGCCGAUGGCAGAUUAGGUAGUUGGUGGGGUAAAGGCUCACCAAGCCUGCGAUCUGUAGCUGGUCUGAGAGGACGACCAGCCACACUGGGACUGAGACACGGCCCAGACUCCUACGGGAGGCAGCAGUGGGGAAUUUUGGACAAUGGGCGCAAGCCUGAUCCAGCCAUGCCGCGUGCA
This 270-nucleotide ribosomal RNA is filed under the name uncultured Ramlibacter sp. RNAcentral's name for it is "partial 16S ribosomal RNA". It matches the Rfam family "Bacterial small subunit ribosomal RNA", at positions 133 to 405 of the family's 1533-position model. The record is from RNAcentral. Lineage: Bacteria; Pseudomonadati; Pseudomonadota; Betaproteobacteria; Burkholderiales; Comamonadaceae.